GUGCCUUCUUGUCAAAAUACUGUAUUUUAAUGCAAUUAUUGUAUUUAGAAUUAGUAAAUAAACAGAAGAAGACAUUUCCCUAUCAUCUUACCUUGUUUUUUUCCAGUAAAUUUUACUGUAAAAAUAUAAGACCCUUUAAAUUAAAAUUUUUAACAAACAAAAUCUCUCUUUUCUUCCUUUGAACUUGGAGCCCUGGCCCAGCCCAUCCUACAGACAUGGUGGUGCCAUUUACUUCAGCCUUUUACUUUGUCACCCCCUUAAUUCCAUCAGAGGUAUUGCUAACAUCUCCAGUUAAUAAUUUCCACUAACAACGCAGAACUCGAUUAGCAUAAUAAGCAUUUCCCAUCUGCAGUGAGCAGUCUUCCCUGCACUUCAUCAGUCUGGAAACUAACUACUGUGUAGAGAAAUCACGAGGAAUAAUUAGAAUUAGUGCACAUGAGCCACUCAACACAAAGCUCUUGCCAUCCACUGGGUAUAAUCAGUAGGUUAUGCAAACGUGGUUAUUGUCAUUUCCACACAAACUAGAACAUACGCGUGGAAGAAGAUGACUUUGGAGCUUGAUAAGAGGUUCUGUGGAGACUUGCCCAGGAGAUGUCAAGCAAGGCAAUGGCCUCCUGAGGGAGGAGCACGCACCGCAGUCAGCCUUGGGGGCCACUGGCCCAGCCGGGGCCUCUGCUCAAGAAGUUUUCCCUCUUACAGCUUUGGGACCCUCAUCUGAAAGGAAAAGGAGUGACUGAAAAUGAGUGAAGGCGUUCCCCAGUGGCUGUUCCCAACAGCAUCCAAUGUGUAGACCCCUACAUGCAGAGAGACCCCGAUGCCUUCUCAGUUCCACGUGCUGUCGAUGCCUCAGAUCAUCCUGGAUGCUGUCCUUGUUGACAACCCAAAGAUACGGACCUGCUGAAUUCUUGACCUCCAUAGUGUCAAUGGUCUUCACCUCAUCUGCAUAUUUGCCAUCUUCUCCCUGGUCAUCCCUCAGACCUUUGCACCAUCCCAAAGUACACCACCUUCUCAAUAGACCUUCUGACCUACAUGAGGAUAGCAGCACUUUGAUGAAUCCUGGAUGUGGCAGCGGAGAUAAACAGGAUGGCAAAAAACAAAAAUGCUGGAAGGUGUUUGCAGGAACAGUGCUACCUCAAGUGUUCAUGUUAUGGCGCACAUAGAAAAUAGUGGUAUUUAUAAAAUAUACUGGUCAGGUUCAGGAAUUUCUGCCCUGAGAACAGAGGAGAAUCAAUAGCUCAACAAACCUGUGCUCAUUCAAGAACUCAGGUUGGAAAGCUCUGAUCUAGAAAAAAAAAAAGCUUCUCUCUGGAUCUGCAUCCACAUUUCGUCAUCAGAGAACGGGAGAGGAGAUAGAAUCUCAGGUUCAAGAACAUUCGCGGAGCCCCAUUUUUAGGUGGAAAAUAGUAACUUGGUUGCUUUAAAAAGGACAUAAUUGGAAGAAAGGUUCUGCUUCCGGUUGACUGUGUUACUUUUUUUUUUUUAAGUUGGCCUUUCUCUAUCAUUGGAGAGGUGAGAAGGAAAUUCCACUGCUGUAGUGGGCUUAGGGAAGAGGGGAAAAUACUGCCUUGAGCUUACGUCUGCUGAAUAAAAGAAGAAACCCCUUUGUGACCAUUGAGAUUUCAUUUGGUUUGGGGGAUUAAGGCCUCAGCUUGUCAUCUAAGUUGCCAUUGUUUGGUGCAAUAUCAGAUGCACAGCUGGAUAGUUUGGGGAAACUGAGGCAACAGCUCCACGUCCUCACCUUCUCACCGAACACUGGCUUUUACAAGCACUCAUUGCUGCUUGGGUUGGGAGGGGUGGGGUUGGUACAGAAGGAGCGCUGAUGCCUACAUAUCCGAAGCUUGACCCAGGGAGGAGACGUCAUGCAAUUACCAAUAAGUUUCUUCAAACCUAGAGCCUGUGGGAUGCCACCAUCACUGACAAUGGCUCCUUGGGUUCUCAUUGCUUGGAGAAGAUAAUUACAGCUCAUUGUGCCCAUUGAGCAGACACAUUUGUGGGCAUACAAGAAACAGCAGAUAGUAAUCCUUGGACUUGAUUAUACAUACAUUCUUUUUUUCUUUUUAAUUACAGUAGUCUUCUGUGACACAAGUGGCACUUCUGUUACUCUCCUGAAGGAGGACCCUCUGAAUCACCCUCGAGGACAGGCACUUGCUCUGCACAGAGUUCCCUGUUUGGAGAGCCGUCUGUGCAUCCAGCUUCCCACUUUCCCCAGGCACCAAACAAUGGGGUUCUGUCUAAGGCUUGUUGAAUUUGUCAAACCAGGACAGUAAGGAAUUGAAUUCUAUGACAGCAAGUGUUUUUAGAAACAAAAAUGAAGGUCAAACUUGGGUGUUCUAAUUCAUUUUCUUCAAAGCAACUAGACAUGGUAACAAAGAUCUCUCUUUUUCUCCUAGACACACACAGAGACCACACUUAGUGAGAAGCAACAUUAAAAUUGCUAGAGAGUCUUACACAAAUUUCUAUAAAAGCAGGCUUUGAAGCUUCAAGUCAUUUCACUGUCCUCAGUCCAUAAUAUUUCAUUCCUUUUUUCUUUACAUACAAUUUCAAUAAGUAAAUUUAGUAUAUAUCCACACACACAUAUUUAUAUAUUUUAAUUCACACAACAAUCCUGUGAGCUGGAUGUAAUGAUUAAUUUUAUGUGUCCACUUCACUGGGCCACAGACUGCCCAAACGUUUGGUUAAGCAUUAUUCUGGGUGUGUCUGUGAGGGUGUUUUGGGGUGAGAUUGACAUGUGAAUUGGCAGACUGGAUAGAGAAGGUUCUCCUCCCUACGGUGGGUGGGCUUCAUCAGUCAACUGAAGACCUGAAUGAAUAUCAGAGUAAGAAGGAGUUCCCCUGCCUAAGUGGCUGAUUGGGAUGUUGUUUUUUUCCUUCUUUCAGAUUCUAAUGGAAAAAAUGGCUCUCCUUGGAUCUCAAAUCUGCCAGCUUUUGGACUAGAACUCGUAGCAUCAGAAGGCUCUCCUGGUUCUUAGGCCUUUGGAUCCUAAUGGGAACGACACCACUGGACUCUCCUGAGCCUCCAGUUUGCCAGCUGCACUAGCCAAUUACAUAUGUGUAUAUAUAUAUAAUUGGCUACUUGGGUUUUCACACACACAUAUGUGUGUGUGUGUGUGUGUGUUUCUCUGGAGAACACUGACUAAUACAGUGGUAUUAUUCUUCCCAUUCUAAAGGGCUCAAAAAGGCUUUAUGGCACCCUAAAGUCAUGUAGCUAGAAAGCUACAUCUAGUAUUCAAAUUCAGUGCUUUUCCCUUUUCACUUCAGCUGCCAUGAUAUGAAAGCCCCAGCCCCUCUACUGUAAAGCAUCCAGACCAUGUGAGCCUCUGCAAACCUGGUACAAAUGCAGGGUUCCCUGAAGGCAGAUGUCUACAAUCCAACAACUCCCUUCUCCCCAGGCAUCUCCUUUAGAAACGCACACCCCUACUCAUCAAGAAUGAUUGAUUUGCCUUCUCAGUAUCUGCAUUUUCCCUGAGCAUGUGUCCAGCUCUUACUCAUAAAUCCUCAAACACCACCUCUAAACAUAAGAGAGGGGCCCCACUUCCUCACCCCAGAGGAAUCCCAAGGCCUGACUGGGCACCAACAUGCUUACUAACCUCAUGCACAGUUACCACAUGAUUCAUGAUCCAGAACAAGACCCUUUGGAGAAGAGAGUGGAGAGGUGCUAUAAAUCCUAACACUAGGACAGCAGAUAUAAAUGGUGACUCUCCUGGGUAGACUGGGAAGUAUGGUCAACCUAUUUAUAUACCUAACGCCUAUUGAACAUCAUUUUAGCAAAUGCCAUGGCUUUACCAUCCCUGAAAUAGAGGAUCAGCAUGUUCUGAUAAUUGACCCUCACAUUUUCUCCUUUUCUACCUAAAAAAUGUACCAAAAUUCAGGUGGUGUUGCUCUAAGGACCUAAGACAUUUUUAACAAUCCAGUCAAAAUUCAUGUGUGUGACAUACACACACACUUGUUUCUUUCUAUCCCCUUUAAGUUCAAGGAAAGUGCUGUAUCUAAGGCAGUUGCUUUGGACUGUUAGAAAAUCAUCAAUUAAAGAUAAAUGGUCAGGAAAGAAAUUUCAGGGCUUGCCCAUUCAGGAAAGCAUGUAUAAUUUGGUGAACCUAAAACUUCUUGUGGAGUUGUAAGUCUUCCUCAUGCUCCCCAGACACCUGGUCAAGGCUUC
RNAcentral lists this long non-coding RNA (4155 nucleotides) under Papio anubis (olive baboon). RNAcentral's name for it is "lncRNA (ENSPANG00000051140.1)". The record is from RNAcentral. Lineage: Eukaryota; Metazoa; Chordata; Mammalia; Primates; Cercopithecidae.